NNNNNNNNNNNNNNNNNNNNNNNNNNNNNNUGGGGGGGAUCCAGUCCCUCCCCCAGGUGGGUUUGGGGGGUUCCAGAUCCCCGGGGGGGGGGAUCCGGUCCUGAUUUGGCAUUUUUGGGGGUCCAGAUCCCACGGGGGGGCCUGGGGGGAUCCAGUUCCUCCUCCAGGCGUUUUUGGGGGGGUCCAGAUCCCACCUGGGGGUUCCAGAUCCCACCUGGGGGGUUCCAGAUCCCACCUGGGGGGGUCCAGAUCCCACCUGGGGGGUCCAGAUCCCACCUGGGGGGUUCCAGAUCCCACCUGGGGGGUCCAGAUCCCCUCCCCCAAAGGGAUCCGGUCCUGCUCCGGCAUUUUUGGGGGUCCAGAUCCCACUGGGAUCCCUGGGGGGAUCCAGUCCCUCCUCCAGGUGUUUUUUGGGGGGUCCAGAUCCCACCUGGGGGGGUCCAGAUCCCACCUGGGGGUUCCAGAUCCCACCUGGGGGUUCCAGAUCCCACCUGGGGGCUUCAGAUCCCACCUGGGGGGGUCCAGAUCCCACCUGGGGGUUCCAGAUCCCACCUGGGGGCUCCAGAUCCCACCUGCGGGUUCCAGAUCCCACCUGGGGGCUUCAGAUCCCCUCCCCCAAAGGGAUCCGGUCCCGCCCCGGCAUUUUUGGGGAUCCAGUCCCUCCCCCAGGUGGGUUUGGGGGUCCAGAUCCCACCUGGGGGGUUCCAGAUCCCCUCCCCCAAAGGGAUCCGGUCCUGACUGGGCAUUUUUGGGGAUCCAGAUCCCACUGGGAUCCCUGGGGGGAUCCAGUUCCUCCUCCAGGCGUUUUUUGGGGGGGUCCAGAUCCCACCUGGGGGGUCCAGAUCCCACCUGGGGGUUCCAGAUCCCCCCCCCCCCCAAAAGGGAUCCAGUCCCGCUCCGGCAUUUUUGGGGAUCCAGUCCCUGCUCCAGGUGUUUCGGGGGGGCUCUGGGGGGGGUCCAGAUCCCACCUGGGGGCUCCAGAUCCCACCUGGGGGGCUUCAGAUCCCCCCCCCAAAAAGGGAUCCGGUCCUGAUUUGGCAUUUUUGGGGGUCCAGAUCCCACCGGGAUCCCUGGGGGGAUCCAGUUCCUCCUCCAGGCGUUUUUUGGGGGGUCCAGAUCCCACCUGGGGGUUCCAGAUCCCCCCCCGCAAAGGGAUCCGGUCCUGCUCCGGCAUUUUUGGGGGUCCAGAUCCCACUGGGAUCCCUGGGGGGAUCCAGUUCCUCCCCCAGGCAUUUUUGGGGGGUCCAGAUCCCACCUGGGAGGUUCCAGAUCCCACCUGGGGGGGUCCAGAUCCCACCUGGGGGGUCCAGAUCCCCCCCCAAAGGGAUCCAGUCCCGCUCCAGCAUUUUUGGGGAUCCAGUCCCUGCUCCAGGUGUUUCUGGGGGGCUCUGGGGGGUUCCAGAUCCCACCUGGGGGGUUCCAGAUCCCCUCCCCCAAAGGGAUCCGGUCCUGAUUUGGCAUUUUUGGGGAUCCAGAUCCCACUGGGAUCCCUGGGGGGAUCCAGUUCCUCCUCCAGGUGUUUUUUGGGGGGUUCCAGAUCCCACCUGGGGGGCUCCAGAUCCCAUCUGGGGGUUCCAGAUCCCACCUGGGGGGUCCAGAUCCACUCCCCCAAAGGGAUCCGGUCCCGCUCCGGCAUUUUUGGGGAUCCAGUCCCUCCCCCAGGUGGGUUUGGGGGUCCAGAUCCCACCUGGGGGGUCCAGAUCCCCUCCCCCAAAGGGAUCCGGUCCCGCUCCGGCAUUUUUGGGGAUCCAGUCCCUGCUCCAGGUGUUUCUGGGGGGCUCUGGGGGGGGUCCAGAUUCCCCCCCCCCCAAAGGGAUCCGGUCCUGAUUUGGCAUUUUUGGGGGUCCAGAUCCCACUGGGAUCCCUGGGGGGAUCCAGUUCCUCCCCCAGGUGUUUUUGGGGGGCUCCAGAUCCCACCUGGGGGGGUCCAGAUCCCACCUGGGGGUUCCAGAUCCCACCUGGGGGCUCCAGAUCCCACCUGGGGGUUCCAGAUCCCACCUGGGGGCUUCAGAUCCCCUCCCCCAAAGGGAUCCGGUCCCGCCUCGGCAUUUUUGGGGAUCCAGUCCCUCCCCCAGGUGGGUUUGG
Lonchura striata (white-rumped munia) is the source of this 2085-nucleotide long non-coding RNA. The record is from Ensembl. Lineage: Eukaryota; Metazoa; Chordata; Aves; Passeriformes; Estrildidae.